Small nucleolar RNA from Tripterygium wilfordii, 130 nucleotides. RefSeq annotates it as small nucleolar RNA snoR111. The transcript has a single exon. The record is from RefSeq and is a predicted model, not a curated record. Lineage: Eukaryota; Viridiplantae; Streptophyta; Magnoliopsida; Celastrales; Celastraceae.
UCGAGAACAAGAUAUGAUUUUAGUAGUCUCUUUGUCUACAAUGUCAGAUAAGGUAUAGCAAAUCAACAGCUGAGACGUCAUUUCAUCGCCAUUUCUCUCAAUUGAUGAUUUGAUUGUUGCUCGGCCACAU